GAACUGAGUAUAAUACCGGAUGGAAAAUGUCACCUGGAAUUGAGACAUUAUCUAAAGUUUUAACGUAUAAGGAUGAGUUGGCGGCUGAUUAGGUUGUUGGUGGGGUAACGGCCCACCAAGCCGACGAUCAGUAGGGGCCAUGAGAGUGGGAGCCCCGAGAAGGUCACUGAGAAACUGGACCUAGCCCCACGGGGUGCAGCAGGUUCGAAGUCUUUCCAAUGCACGACAGUGUGAGAAGGGAAUCCUACGUGCUUAUGCUUAGCAUAGGCUUUUGCUGAGUGUAAAUAGCUCGGCGAAUAAGGGGUGGGCAAGACCGGUGCCAGCAGCCGCGGUAACACCGGCGCCCCAAGUGGCAAUCACAUUUACUGGGCCUAAAGCGUUCGUAGCCGGAUAAUUAAAUUCUCUGUGAAAUCAACUGGCUUAACCAAUUGAAGUGCAGAGGAGACUGAUUAUCUUGAGACAGGGAGAGGCUAGAAGUAUUCUGGGGGGAGCGGUAAAAUGUGAUAAUCCCUAGAGGACUACCAGUGGCGAAAGCGUCUAGCUAGAACUGAUCUGACGGUGAGGAACGAAAGCCAGGGGAGCAAACCGGAUUAGAUACCCGAGUAGUCCUGGCCGUAAACGCUGUAUACAAGUUGUUGCGUAUUCCUGUGAAUAUGCAGUAACGAAGAGAAGUCGUUAAGUAUACCGCCUGGGAAGUACGGUCGCAAGGCUGAAACUUAAAGGAAUUGGCGGGGGAGCAC
RNAcentral lists this ribosomal RNA (740 nucleotides) under uncultured euryarchaeote. Its description in RNAcentral is "bacterial SSU rRNA". It matches the Rfam family "Archaeal small subunit ribosomal RNA", at positions 137 to 879 of the family's 1478-position model. Lineage: Archaea; Methanobacteriati; Methanobacteriota. The record is from RNAcentral.